CUGCGAUUUGCUUUCAGGAGUGAUACAGUUGGAAACUUUGGAAUGGCAGAGAGUUCAUUCAAGCAAGAACAUGAUCUAAUUGUUUUGUACUUCCUUCCGAUUUUUUUUUUUUUUUUUCAAUUUCUUUGGGUUGAUUAGUUAUUUAUUUUGAGUUUUUUUCCCUUUUCUUUUGUUUAAAAACCGAUUAGUGGUUUACGAAGUAAUUGAUUAUGACUGUUAUAUAGGAGAUCGGUGAGAAGAUAUUUUUUUGCUGCUAUGAGUUAAGCAUUUGAUAAAUACUAUUUUUUAUUGAUCUUUUUGGUGAUAUUUUCAAUUUUUUAAUUUAUUUAUUGAGCCCAGUUAGUGUGUGUGUGUGUGUGUGUGUGUGUGGGGCUUCAUUUUUUUAUUUUUUUUUAUUUUUAUUUUUUUUUGGGUAUUGUGAUUCAUGUUUUGUUCUACGUCACUUCCUUUUCGUGCUAAUAAAAUUGUUGUUUUUGUUUAUAAUUUACUUGCAUGCAAAUUAUAUAGAAACUUUUAGCUGAAGUAAAUUGGAAUUAUGGUUUUCUUUCAAUUAUUAUGUCGAUAACAAAUUAAGGAUUUUCUAAUCAGAAAUUUAUCUCUCUCUAGUUUCAUUGGAAGUAGAUAGACCUUGUUACUCCGAAUUGAUCUUCUUUUCUGCAAUGUAGUGGUGGUGAACAUACUAUUGCUCUCUCAGAUAGAAAAUAUUCGUUUAAUGUAACCACUAUGAAGAGUACAUCCAUUUUUUCUUUUAUCCCUUAAAUGAUUUCAAAUGAGUUGCCUGACCUAAAUUUUCUGAAAGUUCUGUACUCCGAGAGGCAAGAAUGUUAGUCGCAUUGUAGUUCACAUGAAUGAGUCACUUCACUUUGUUAGCCUUUAUUUAUUAAGUAUUGAUGUGCUUACAUUCAAUUGAAUCUCUUCUUUGUGUGUAUCAGUCCACCAUAUCUUCUUAUUCUUUUCUUUUUAUGUUAAAGUUCACCUCAACUUGGAUGGUAGCUGCAGUGUGUACAGCAUCACCAUCUCAUCGCCGCAAAGCACCUCCUCCAUUAUGCCGGCAAGGUGGUUUAUCAUUCCUUUCUCUUUCUCGCAUACUGGCACACGUACUUGCUACAUGAAAAAAAAUUACGAUCUACUGAUUUUUUUUACAGUAUUUGAAAAAGAACUAGAAGCCCCUCUACGAAGCUUUAUUGAAAGUCAAGGGGAGGUAUCUUUUAUCUUUCACUUUAUCUUAUGGCGUGUGUCAAUAGGCAUAAAUGAGUAUAUAUAAAAGAUAAUUUGCAUUUUCUUUUUCCAAUACGAUGAUUGAUUGAUUAAUUGCAACUAUGAAAUGGUGACUGAUUUUUGGGUGAAUGUAGAAUUGAUGUUGUUGGGGUUUAUAUCACUCGUGAUGACCAUGUUUCAAGGCCGUAUAGUCAAGCUCUGCGUGCCUGAAGACAUGAUGAAACAUUUGCUUCCAUGCUAAUUGUCAUUGAAAUCUUCUUCGAGUGGAAAAGAAUCUGCAAUUUACGUUACUUUUAAUCCUUUUGCAGGUUUUCUCUAACAUAUAUUGCCACAUAUAUAAACUACAAUCAUGUAAGUGAAUCCACAUUCACUGUCAAAUCAUAAAAUUUUAUUUCAUUUUUAAUCCGGGUUUAAUCCCAUGUUUUGAUCAUAAUAUAAUUUUGUUAUGAGCACGCGAAAAAAAUGUGUAUACGAGCAUAUCAAGUAUCAGUCAAGAUAAAUCAAAUUUCCUAUACAUUUUAUUGCACGAUUUGUUUGUAUACUAUUUGUUAUCGACCAAAAAGUAAAAUGUGCUCGUACACAAAUCUUUAAUCAUGUAAUCAAUAUGACUAAAGGAGAUGAUGUAGAUACUGUUGUUGAUUUCAAUGGCUACUAGAGCCUCUCGGUUGGAAAACCAAUAUGCCAUUCAUGCUGCAAUCAUGGGGAUGUUGGCUGAUCCUAAGAAAGUAUGCAGAUUUUGAUUCCAAGCUUUGUUGAUGAAGUGUGCACCUCAAGGCAUAAGCUUUAGGCAGCUUUUAAAACAAUGAUUGAUGUUGAAUAUUGUCUUCUUACUUGUUGAGCAAUUUUUUCUGAAACAAGUUGUGCGAGAAAGACUGUGUCCAGGCCUCAAUUCCGGCAUCUCCAGCUGGGAAGUCUUCGAGAAAAUCAGCAUUUAGAAAAGACAUGCUUGCAGCGAUUCUUGAAGGAUGCAAUUCCUAGUACGUUUAUGAAUUAAACUUGCUGAAAAUUGGCUAAUGAAUCGAUUUUCAUACAUCCAGCAAUAAUGUAACUGUAUAAAUUAUAAUGCUUCCUAAAAUAAUGGUUUCUGAUUCAAUAACCAAUAUAUUUUCUUUAAUGGAU
This 2337-nucleotide long non-coding RNA is filed under the name Olea europaea subsp. europaea. Lineage: Eukaryota; Viridiplantae; Streptophyta; Magnoliopsida; Lamiales; Oleaceae. The record is from RNAcentral.